AAUCAACGCUGGCGGCGCGCCUAACACAUGCAAGUCGAACGAGAACGGGUAGCAAUACCUUAGUAAAGUGGCGUACGGGUGAGUAACACGUGGAUCAUCUACCUUCUAGUGGGGAAUACCGUUGGGAAACCGACAACAAUACCGCAUAAGCUCGAGAGAGGAAAGCAGCAAUGCGCUGGAAGAGGAGUCCGCGGUCGAUUAGUUAGUUGGCAGGGUAAAGGCCUACCAAGACUGUGAUCGAUAGCCGGCCUGAGAGGGCACACGGCCACACUGGCACUGAAACACGGGCCAGACUCCUACGGGAGGCAGCAGUGGGGAAUAUUGCACAAUGGGGGAAACCCUGAUGCAGCGACGCCGCGUGAGCGAUGAAGCCCUUCGGGGUGUAAAGCUCUUUCGGCAGGGACGAUUAUGACGGUACCUGCAGAAGCAGCUGCGGCUAACUACGUGCCAGCAGCCGCGGUAAUACGUAGGCAGCAAGCGUUGUUCGGAAUUACUGGGCGUAAAGGGUGCGUAGGCGGCUUUUUAAGUUUGGUGUGAAAUCUCCCGGCUCAACUGGGAGGGUGCGCCGAAUACUGAGAAGCUAGAGUGUGGGAGAGGAAAGUGGAAUUCCUGGUGUAGCGGUGAAAUGCGUAGAUAUCAGGAGGAACACCGGUGGUGUAAACGGCUUUCUGGACCAUAACUGACGCUGAGGCACGAAAGCGUGGGUAGCAAACAGGAUUAGAUACCCUGGUAGUCCACGCCCUAAACGAUGCAUAUUUGGUGUGGGCCAUUCAUUUGGUCCGUGCCGGAGCUAACGCGUUAAAUAUGCCGCCUGGGGAGUACAGUCGCAAGGCUG
RNAcentral lists this ribosomal RNA (835 nucleotides) under uncultured bacterium. RNAcentral describes it as "bacterial SSU rRNA". It matches the Rfam family "Bacterial small subunit ribosomal RNA", at positions 28 to 896 of the family's 1533-position model. The record is from RNAcentral.